Molecule: long non-coding RNA, 964 nt
Organism: Phycodurus eques (leafy seadragon)
Lineage: Eukaryota; Metazoa; Chordata; Actinopteri; Syngnathiformes; Syngnathidae
Exons: 3
Source: RefSeq, a predicted model, not a curated record
AUGAAAUCUGGUGAGAGUUCAGCUUCAGUUUCAUUUUUUUCAAUCAUCUUCAAAGGGCGAGUAGUACAUCUAAAGCAACCCAUCGAGGAAAAGUCAGCACUGACCUUGCGGAUGGGCAUGGCGUCUCCCUGCGAGCUGACCAUCUCCACCUCAAUGCGCUCCAUCAAGCCCUCCAGCUGGUCGCGCACGUCCCGCGCUCGCCUCAUGGAGCGGAACUGGAUGAAGUUCUCGUAACACCACUGCGUCGAGUAGCCGCUCUCCACCCACUAAGGCACACAGACACAAACACAUUUUUACAAACAAAUGUCCAUUGAAAAACUCCAACAUUUUAUAUUUCCAUAUAUACAGUAACAGUUGCAAGAAAAAGUAUGCAAACCCUUUGGAAUGAGCAGGUUUUCUGCAUAGAUUGGUCAUGAAGUGUGAUCUGGUCUUCCUCUAAGUAACACCCACAAAUUUGCUCAGCGGGUAGCCAACAUAAAGACACUGAGUUUAGUCUAAAGACACAGAAGAGGCGCUGCAGGAGUGUUUCGAUGUCACCAACAUCUUUUAAAUAAGUAUAAUUUUAUUAGGAAAUAUAUUUGUUAUCGGCAUUAUUAUUGUUUUUAUGUUUGGCCCUUGUGUACAGCACUGUUUCAGUUGCUGUUGUUUUUUAAAGUUCUAUAAACUAAAGUUGAGCUGACAGUUCAGUACACAGUGUCUGCAAUUUUUAAGAUAUUUGGUUUUAUCUGCUUCUUUUACUGUAGAAAGCUUUUAACUAAUUUCAGCACUUUUUUGUUUUUAACCCUAUAAAUUCCAUUUUGUUUGCACAAUGCAGAGGCUGCAAAACAACCUAAAAAAAUGAUUUUAUACAUAUUCCCAGUACCUACUUUUUUUCUUACACUAUGGGUGUAUUGCAAAUAUUCUAAUUCUUGUACAGCGCCUGUGAAUAUUCUCAUUCAUCCAGGUCAUUUCAUUCACAGAGCAU